GUGAGGAAUAUUGGACAAUGGGCGCAAGCCUGAUCCAGCCAUGCCGCGUGCAGGAAGACGCAUCUAUGGUGUGUAAACUGCUUUUGUACGGGAAGAAACACUCCCUCGUGAGGGAGCUUGACGGUACCGUAAGAAUAAGGAUCGGCUAACUCCGUGCCAGCAGCUGCGGUAAUACGGAGGAUCCAAGCGUUAUCCGGAAUCAUUGGGUUUAAAGGGUCCGUAGGCGGUUUAAUAAGUCAGUGGUGAAAGCCCAUCGCUCAACGAUGGAACGGCCAUUGAUACUGUUAGACUUGAAUUACAAGGAAGUAACUAGAAUAUGUAGUGUAGCGGUGAAAUGCUUAGAUAUUACAUGGAAUACCAAUUGCGAAGGCAGGUUACUACUUGUGGAUUGACGCUGAUGGACGAAAGCGUGGGGAGCGAACAGGAUUAGAAACCCUAGUAGUCC
Molecule: ribosomal RNA, 445 nt
Filed under: uncultured bacterium
Lineage: Bacteria
Description: partial 16S ribosomal RNA
Rfam family: Bacterial small subunit ribosomal RNA
Source: RNAcentral